CUUGUAUCAGUAAAAUAGUACUCAUUUACAUCUACUUAUUGUACUUGCGGGCUAUAAGAUUGGUUAUAGAUGACGUGUCAACAUCAUAUAGCCAGCAGCUGGCUGUACUAUUAACCAUGCUCUAAAACACAUGUGCCACAUGUGCAUGUCUACUUAUCUCUUGGUGGAUCAAAUACUGGGAUGGGAUGUGAUGCGCUACAAAGUCCACCCAUUCCCUGACAUGUGACAACAUCUCGCAUCGGAGAGAGAUGAGUGGGAGGGGCCAAGGAGUGGUGCUCCCGAUAAAGGGUAGAAACCUUAGGGAUGUAUUCUAUAUGACACUUUCACUGCGACUAUAAAAGGGAAUUUAAGAUCAAUGACAG
RNAcentral lists this long non-coding RNA (362 nucleotides) under Hordeum vulgare. RNAcentral describes it as "long non-coding RNA (HVUL_LNC018170)". Lineage: Eukaryota; Viridiplantae; Streptophyta; Magnoliopsida; Poales; Poaceae. The record is from RNAcentral.